Molecule: non-coding RNA, 2390 nt
Organism: Xyrichtys novacula (pearly razorfish)
Lineage: Eukaryota; Metazoa; Chordata; Actinopteri; Labriformes; Labridae
Source: the annotation of a GenBank genome assembly
CAGUGCCCCAACGGGGCCCUAGUUUCUUUUUCCUCCCCUUUGAACUGGAAAAUGGCCCACUUCCCACUGGCGAAAACUCAUGAAAUUUGGCAGGACGACCGGGCCUUGUGAAAAAUUCGAUAUUCUGAAGUCGCCCAAACAAUAAAAUGCAAAAUGGCUCCAUAGCGCCCCCUAAGGUGGAAAUUCACACUAUUGACUGUCACGCCUGUACGCUUUGUCAUAUUGACACAAAAAUUGACACACAUAUGUAUCUCAAUAAGAUCUACGAAAAAGUCAAUGCGCGCGUAUCUGUCAAAAUUACGGUUAAAGGGUUAUUUCGCAUUUUUUGCCGAUCCGCACACAUUGGAAUUUCGCUAACUCCUCCGAAGGCUUUCGUUCCACCGGCACCACAUUUGCUCAGGCCAAUCUACACCCCGUGGCCAUUAAAAGUUAUCAAAAUCAUGACGCUGCACCCCAAGGUUUAGGUUCUAGGGGGCGCCAAAGAUAACACUAAAAUCCACAUAUUUAAAAGUCUUAUAACUUUUUAUUUUUGUCCUCACUGGCCUCCAAGUUUUCUAGGAUGAUGCAAUGUCCAGCCAUCAACACAUUUGUGAAGGAAUUUUUACUCCCCAAAAGAGCGCCCCCCCAUGGCAGGAGAAAAAAGUCCAUUUUUUCUUGUCCCCUAAGGUGAAAAUACACAUUGUUGAGUGUCACGCCUAUACGCUUUGUCAAAAUGACACAAAAAUUGACACACACAUGUAACUCAAUAAGAUCUACGAAAAAGUCAAUGCGCGCGUAUCUGUCAAAUGUACGGUUAAAGGGUUAUUCCGCAUUUUUUGCCAAUCCGCACACAUUGGAAUUUCGCUAACUCCUCCGAAGGCUUUCUGUCCACCGGCACCACAUUUGCUCAGGCCAAUCUACACCCCAUGGCCAUUAAAAGUUAUUCAAAUCAUGACGCUGCACCCCACGGUUUAGGUUCUAGGGGGCGCCAAAGACAACCCUAAAAUCCACAUAUUUAAAAGUCUUAUAACUUUUUAUUUUUGUCCUCACUGGCCUCCAUGUUUUCUAGGAUGAUGCAAUGUCCAGCCAUCAACACAUUUGUGAAGGAGUUUUUUCUCGUUAAAAGAGCGCCCCCCCGUGGCAGGAGAAUAAAGUCAAGUUUUUCCUGUUCAUCAUUCAAUGGCUCAAACGCACUGCUCUCUCGGCAAAAGCGAAAGGAGGAGCAACUUGCCAUUUGGAUAUAUCUUAGCUGUCUUUGUGCCCUCACUCAUGGUCCAGACUUUUUUCAAAUAGGACAUGGAGUUUUUCUGCAGCGAGCGUUUUGGUAGAAACUGCGCCUCCCGUUCAUUAUAAUGGUAAAUGACCACAAACAAGUGCGCACACCAUCUUUGGACCUUGAGUGUGACGCGAUCGGGUGGGGGAGGCGGUCGCGCUUGGGGCGGCGUGACACGGCUCGGGCCCGCCAGUGCCCCAACGGGGCCCUAGUUAGGGCCCGAGCGUAGCUGCUAAGCAGCUGCGAGAGCCCUCUUGUUCCUGAUGGAUUCUUCUUUCGUUAUUUUUCCUCCGCUUUAAACUGGAAAAUGGCCCACUUCCCACUGGCGAAAACUCAGGAAAUUUGGAAGGACGACCGGGCCUGGUGAAAAAUUUGAUAUUCUGAAGUCGCCCAAACAAAAAAAUGAAAAAUGGCUGCAUAGCGCCCCCUAUGGUGAAAACUCACCUGACGCCUGUACACUUUGUCAAAAUGACACAAAAUUUGACACACAUGUGUAUCUCAAUAAGAUCUACAAAAAAGUCAGUGCGGACGUAUCUGUCAAAUGUACCGUUAAAGGGCUAUUUCGCAUUUUUUGCCGAUCCGCACACAUUGGAAUUUCGCUAACUCCUCCGAAGGCUUUCGUUCCACCGGCACCACAUUUGCUCAGGCCAAUCUACACCCCAUGGCCAUUAAAAGUUGUACAAAUCAUGAUGCUGCACCCCACGGUUUACGUUCUAGGGGGCGCCAAAGAUAACCCAAAAAUCCACAUUCUUAAAAGUCUUAUAACUUUUUAUUUUUGUCCUCACUGGCCUCCAAGUUUUCUAGGAUGAUGCCAUGUCAAGCCAUCAACACAUUUGUGAAGGAAUUUUUACUCCCCAAAAGAGCGCCCCCCAUGGCAGGAGAAAAAAGUCAAGUUUUUCUUGUCCCCUAACAUGAAAAUACACAUUGUUGAGUGUCACGCCUAAACGCUUUGUCAUAUUGACAAAACAUUUGACAAUCACGUGUAUCUCAAUAAGAUCUACAAAAAAGUCAUAGAGCGCGUAUCUGUAUAAUGUACGGUUAAAGGGCUAUUUUGCAUUUUUUGCCGAUCCGCACACAUUGGAAUUUCGCUAACUCCUCCGAAGGCUUUCGUUCCACCGGCACCAAAUUUGCUCAGGCC